Vanessa atalanta (red admiral) is the source of this 497-nucleotide long non-coding RNA. RefSeq lists it as uncharacterized. NCBI's taxonomy places the organism in Eukaryota, Metazoa, Arthropoda, Insecta, Lepidoptera, Nymphalidae. The record is from RefSeq and is a predicted model, not a curated record. The transcript has 3 exons.
AUGGUGUAUAAAUGGUGUAUUGUGCCACAAUGUACAAAUACUUCUAUAAAAACUCCACAAAAACUGUUUGUUUCUGUUCCAACGAACCCUAAGAGACGUAAUAAGUGGUUACAGUUAGCUCGAAGAGACCCAAAAAGCAUUUUAUCUCAUACAAAUGUUUUAUGUGUGAAAAUAACUUUGAUAUGGAAAGAGAUACAAUUAAUUACAUGAAGUACAAAAUGGGCUUUAGUUCGAAGAUUCUUUUGACUGAUGAGGCGGUGCCAAACUCUGCCAAGAGGAUCGUAAGCGUCGGUUGGGCGACCCUAAUCAUCAGAGUGCAAUAAUUGCUAAAAGAAAAAAGGAUGGAGCUUCUCAAACAAAUUGAAGAAGGACUCCAUGUUUAAAGUAAGGACAUGACGGAGACUGCAAAUAGAUGACAAUAUUGUACAGUAAGCUAUUGAACCUGAUGAAGAAACACCAAAUAACGAGACACAGAAAACACAACUGAUCCUAUAUAA